CCGACGAGCGGCGGACGGCUGAGUAACGCGUGGGAACAUACCCUAAAGUGAGGGAUAACUACUCGAAAGAGUGGCUAAUACCGCAUAUGAUCUUCGGAUUAAAGCAUUUAUGCGCUUUAGGAACGGCCUGCGUACGAUUAGAUAGUUGGUGAGGUAAAGGCUCACCAAGUCGACGAUCGUUAGAUGGUUUGAGAGGAUGAUCAUCCAGACUGGGACUGAGACACGGCCCAGACUCCUACGGAAGGCAGCAG
This 251-nucleotide ribosomal RNA is filed under the name uncultured bacterium. Its description in RNAcentral is "partial 16S ribosomal RNA". It matches the Rfam family "Bacterial small subunit ribosomal RNA", at positions 88 to 354 of the family's 1533-position model. The record is from RNAcentral.